Molecule: long non-coding RNA, 1015 nt
Organism: Lactuca sativa (garden lettuce)
Lineage: Eukaryota; Viridiplantae; Streptophyta; Magnoliopsida; Asterales; Asteraceae
Source: RefSeq, a predicted model, not a curated record
CCAAUUAAUCAGCGCCUAAGCGCUUGGCAGCCUCCAAUCACCUACGAAUAGGUGUUAGAGGGUUAAACUAAGCGACAUUGGUCAAUAUCGGUCAAAGUCGGCCCAACUUGGACCUAAUAAGUCCAGCUGACUGUAAAUGACCCACCAGCUCAAAGGAGCCGGUUUGGCUAAAAGAUAAGUGCAUUUGUUCUCUUAGGGAGGAUUCCCUUUUAUAGAGUAUUUUUUCCUUGAUAGAUUGUUCCCAGCUUCGAUGUGGGAUGAUCAAACGUUUACUUCGUCGGUUCUUCCAUAUAUGUUUUUUGCAUCUCGUUCGUCCCCAAUUUUCUUCAUGGUCUGACUCCUCGCAUGCUCGACUCCGACUCCGACUCCUCUUCGCAUCUCCUUUAGUCUUUUACCACGCCAUCAAAGGAACAACAUCAAACUGAGCACCGUCAUACGACAAGUACCGAACCCAAUCAACAAUCAAUAAUCAGGUAAUUUGGAAAGGAUUUGAGGAGGAGAUUAGGUCGAAUCAAGGGUGAAGAAAGAUGAGGUCGAAUCGAGGGUGAAGAACCUGAAACAGAAAAUUGUUUAUGCUGGUCGUCGAUAAUUCAAUCAAUGGUCAAAGCAGUGAAAGUCAAAAUUAAAUGAUUUCAAGUCAGAAUUGGUGAUCAGAUACGAAUUAGUGAUCAAAAUUGAAUGUGAUAGUUUCAAGAUGAGGUCGAUUCGAAGAAAGUGCUGCUGUGUUGUUGUGCUCAAGGUGAUAAAUACGAAUGAGUGAUAAAGAUAAAUGUUGAAGGUGUAGCUGUGCAGGGUUCUAGAUGGGUGGGGCUUAUGAAUGUGAUCAGAUAUGAAGGUCUUGUUGUUCAAGGCUCAAACUUGUUUUGGAAUGAUGAAUUGUAUUUUUUGACUGUGAAGGACCUGUCAUCAUCUGUGCUAAUUUAUGGAUCAUGGUGUAUUUUACCUAAAAUUAACAAAUUACAAUUGUUGAUCUCUUUUGAUGUGCUAAAAUGUUAAAUUACGUGCAUACAAUUCA